Molecule: transfer RNA, 72 nt
Filed under: Caudoviricetes sp.
Lineage: Duplodnaviria; Heunggongvirae; Uroviricota; Caudoviricetes
Description: tRNA-Glu
Rfam family: tRNA
About the family: Transfer RNA (tRNA) molecules are approximately 80 nucleotides in length.
Source: RNAcentral
GCUCUAUUCGUCUAUCGGUUAGGACGCAAGAUUUUCAUUCUUGAAAGGUGGGUUCAACUCCCGCAUAGAGUA